GGGGAAUAUUGGACAAUGGGCGCAAGCCUGAUCCAGCCAUGCCGCGUGGGUGAAGAAGGCCUUCGGGUUGUAAAGCCCUUUUGUUGGGAAAGAAAAGCAGCCGGCCAAUACCCGGUUGUUCUGACGGUACCCAAAGAAUAAGCACCGGCUAACUUCGUGCCAGCAGCCGCGGUAAUACAAGGGUGCAAGCGUUACUCGGAAUUACUGGGCGUAAAGCGUGCGUAGGUGGUGGUUUAAUCCGUUGUGAAAGCCCUGGGCUCAACCUGGGAAGUGACUGGGAGCUUGGACACUGAGGGGGGGACGGGGGUAGGUGAAUUUCCGGGGUAGCAGGUAAAUGCCGUGGAGAUCGGAGGAAAAACAGUUGGGAAGGGGAAUGGCCGGGCCAAAACUUACACUGGGGCAAGUAAGGGGUGGGAGCAAACA
Molecule: ribosomal RNA, 423 nt
Filed under: uncultured Lysobacteraceae bacterium
Lineage: Bacteria; Pseudomonadati; Pseudomonadota; Gammaproteobacteria; Lysobacterales; Lysobacteraceae
Description: bacterial SSU rRNA
Rfam family: Bacterial small subunit ribosomal RNA
Source: RNAcentral